Molecule: ribosomal RNA, 253 nt
Filed under: uncultured bacterium
Lineage: Bacteria
Description: partial 16S ribosomal RNA
Rfam family: Bacterial small subunit ribosomal RNA
Source: RNAcentral
UACGGGGGGGGCAAGCGUUGUUCGGAAUUACUGGGCGUAAAGGGCUCGUAGGUGGCCAACUAAGUCAUACGUGAAAUCCCUCGGCUUAACCGGGGAACUGCGUCUGAUACUGGAUGGCUUGAGGUUGGGAGAGGGAUGCGGAAUUCCAGGUGUAGCGGUGAAAUUCGUAGAUAUUCGGAAGAACACCAGUGGCGAAGGCGACUCACUGGACACGUAUUGACGCUGAGGUGCGAAAGCGUGGGGAGCAAACAGG